This 1619-nucleotide ribosomal RNA is filed under the name uncultured soil eukaryote. Its description in RNAcentral is "SSU rRNA". It matches the Rfam family "Eukaryotic small subunit ribosomal RNA". The record is from RNAcentral.
CAAAUUCAGGGAUAAUACAUGCACUACCGAUCCCUCCUCACGGGGGGACGUGCUCAUUAGAUCCAAACCAAUCCCGCUUGCGGGAAAGGUGACUCAUAAGCAUCAUUCGGACCGCUCAUGCCUCGUGCAGGCGGCGCUUCAUUCAAGUAACUGCCCUAUCACGUUGUCGGUUGUGUCUUGGACCACCGAGCGGAUGACGGGUAACGGGGAAUUAGAGUUCGAUUCCGGAGAAAGAGCAUGAGACACGGCUCUUACAUCCAAGGAAGGCAGCAGGCGCGCAAAUUACCCAAUACGCACGUGCGUGAGGUAGCGACAGUACAUAACAAUGGGGCGCACGAGCAAUGUGACCUAAUUGGAAUGAGCCUAAUCUAAAGCUCUGAGUGAGCAACGAUUGGAGGGCAAGUCUGGUGCCAGCAGCCGCGGUAAUUCCAGCUCCACGAGCGUAUAUUUGAGUUGUUGCAGUUAAAACGUGCGUAGUUGAUGAUCAGGGGCCGCGCUGAUGGCAAGCACCCUCCGGGGUGGACUGCCGGCCGGCACUCUACUGGCCGUGGACCUCGGUCCCGGUCACUAAUACCUCGAACAAAUGAGAGCGCAUGAGGCAGGCACCUGUUGCCGGAAUCGAUUAGCAUGGAAUAACACAUGGACCGCAGUGUCUUGUUGUUGGUUAAAGACGUUGCAGUAAUGAUUAACAGGGGUACUUGGGGCCAACCGUACUCUGGGGCUAGGGGUGAAAUCCUGUGACCCUCAGAAGACGACCUAAUGCGAAAGCAGUUGGCUAAGGUACUUUCAUUGAUCAAGCACGAAGGGUGGGGGAGCAAAGACGAUUAGACACCGUUGUAGUCCCACCAGUAAACUAUGUCGACGCGAUCACGGGUGUCUGUGUUAGCAGCGCUCGGGAGCGUAUAGAAAUUAGAGUCUUUGGACUCUGGGGGGAGUAUGGUCGCAAGUCUGAAACUUAAAGGAAUUGACGGAAGGGCACAACCAGGCGUGGAGCCUGCGGCUUAAUUUGACAACACGGGGAAGCUCACCAGGGCAGGACAUGAUUAGGAUUGACAGACAUGAUAGAUCUUUCAUGAUCUCAUGGGUGGUGGUGCAUGGCCGUUCUUAGUUCGUGGGGUGACUUGUCUGGUUGAUUCCGAUAACGAGCGAGACCGAGACCCAAGGUUGGCGCCGUCUCCCUCAUGCACUUUUGGGCUUCGAGGGCGGCGCUCUUCUUGCGCCUUGGGGACCGGCACCCGGUUAAGGGUGUGGAGGUGCUUGGCAAUAACAGGUCUGUGAUGCCCUUAGAUGUCCUGGGCCGCACGCGCGCUACACUGAUGCAGACAAUGGGCACUCACCUAUCCCGAGAGGGCCGGGUAAUCCUGUGAGGCUGCAUCGUGCUGGGGAUCGAGCACUGGAACUGUGCUCGUGAACAUGGAAUGCCUUGUAAUCGUGGGUCACCAACCCACGAUGAAUACGUCCCUGCCCUUUGUACACACCGCCCGUCGCUAUUUCCGAUCGAAUGGCUUGGUGAGGGGGUAGGAGUCUAGCUUGCGCCGGCUUGCUGGUCGCAGUGCAGGGCGAACACCUUCGAACUCGGCCAUUUAGAGGAAGUACAAGUCGUAACAAGGUUUCCGUAG